GUUGCAAACCAAGUGUUUGCUUUUUUGUCCGUAUCAGUCGAUAAUUAUGUUGGUUUUUUAGUCUGAUCAUUUGGGUGUGAUUGAUCUGACUAGGAUAUGAAUGUUUCAUGAGUUUCACUUUAAUUGUAAGAUUCUCUUUCAAUAGAAUUUAAGUAUUUGGGUAGUGACUUUUUCCUUCAUAUUCUAGGAUUUAUGAUGUUUCUCUCUUGAAGUUGGAAAAAUCAUUUAAUUAAUCUACAUAUAAACAACAAAGAGAGUUGAUUUAUGUGUUACUGGAAGUAGCUUAUUGGAGAUGCAAUUGAUAUAUCUGUGUUUGUUUUGUGAAUAACAGGGAGUGGCCUUAACGAAUAUGGAGUUUUUAGCGCCCCUUCUUGAAGUGAUAAAGUGCUUCGGGAGACCAACUAGUCAAUAUGUAAAUUACCACCGAAAACUAGAAGAAAAUAUUAAUGACCUUAAAAGAAAAGUGAAUGAUUUAAAUAUCCGAAAGCAAGACCUCGAAUUAAAAAAGGACAAGGAAAUUCGUUGCAGAAAAGUGGUGAAGAAUGAAGUGGAGAACUGGUUUGAAAAUGUCCGAAGCAUAAAUGUUGAAAUGGAAAAGAUAGAAAUGAAGUUUUGUGUUGUUUCAUACUUCUCUCGUGCCAGCCUAGGGAAACUUAUUCGCCGAAAGAUUGCAGAAGUUGAGAGGAUCUAUCAACAAGGCAGUUUUCCAGAAGGUGUGGCAGUUGAUGGUCCUCCGGCCAGUGGGGUGACAUUUCCAACGACAGAUUUAGAAGGUCAAAUAGGUGUAAAAGGACGAAUUUGGGAGUAUCUGAUGGACAAUGAGGUUGGAAUGAUUGGAAUAUGUGGAAUGGGUGGUAUAGGGAAAACCACCAUCAUGAAGAAUAUCAACAAUCAACUGUUGAAGGAAAAUCAGUUUGAUGCGGUGAUUUGGAUGACAGUGUCCAGAGAAUUCAAUAUUGUUAGAUUACAAGAAGAUCUUGCGCAUGCUUUGGACUACUCUCUUCCUAAAAAUAAAUUGGAAUGGCCAACUGUACUAAUGGAAAUCUUGGAAAGAAAGAGAUAUGUGCUAAUCUUAGAUGAUGUUUGGGAACCAUUUGCUCUCCUAGAUGUGGGAAUCCCUGAACCAUCGUCGCAUAAUGGGAGCAAAUUGGUAAUCACUAGUAGAUCAGUUGAGGUGUGCAAUACCAUGGGUUGUAAGGUGUUUAAAGUACAACCUCUUUCACCAGAGGCAUCCUUGAACUUAUUUUCGUGUCAGGUGGGGGAUAAUGUUCUACAAGAUCCAACUUUAAAAGAACUCGUGGACCUUAUCGUUGUCCAAUGUGGUGGUUUACCGCUUGCUAUCAUGACUAUAGCCAGUAGCAUGAAAGGGGUGGAAGAUGCUUUUGAGUGGAGGAAUGCACUUUGUGAACUACGUGAAAGGGUUACAAGUGUGAAGGGAUCAGAUACCAUAAUAUUUGAGCAACUGAAGUUUAGCUAUGAUCGUUUGAAAGAUUCAAAAAUCCAAAAUUGCUUCCUCUAUUGCUCCUUAUAUCCUGAGGAUCAUCACUUUGAAAAGGAGGAGUUGAUUGAAAAUUGGAUAGAUGAGGAACUCAUUGAUGAAUUAGAGAAUAGACGUGCAAUGCACGACAGAGGUCAUACUAUUCUAAACAAGCUUGUAAAUAAUUGCUUGUUAGAGAAGGUAAUGAUUGACGAUGUUGAAAGAGGAGUGAAGAUGCAUGAUGUUGUGAGAGACAUGGCAUUGUCUAUCAAAAGAUGUGAUAACAUUAUGGUAAAAGCUGGUAUGCAAUUGGAGGAAAUACCAAGUGAGCAUAAAUGGAAAGAAUCUCUUGAGAAGGUUUCCUUGAUGAAUAAUUCAAUACCCGGAGCUAUUUUAAUAUCGCCAAAAUGUCAUAAUUUGUCAACCUUGUUAUUGCAGAGAAAUCUUAACCUUGGAAAGAUUUUAGGAUCUUUCUUUGAGAACAUGCAUGGUCUAAAGGUUCUAAAUCUCUCUCAUACUGGAAUUUCUGAUCUGCCCAAUUCCAUUUCGAACUUGAAAAAUCUUACUGCACUUGUCCUUAGAUGGUGCCACCAGUUAAGAUACAUGCCUUCACUUACAAAGCUCACAGCAUUGAAAAAGUUAGAUCUUUUUCACACAAAAAUCAAGGAAGUUCCUCAUGGUAUGGAAAUGUUAGAAAACCUCACAUAUCUUAAUUUAUAUUCACGUGAUCUAAAGGAUCUACCAAUGGGAAUGCUAGCGAGGUUUUCUAAUCUCCAAGUCAUGAAAGCUUGGUUGAAUAUAAAAGGAGAGGAAGUGGCCAAACUGAGGAAGCUGGAGAUUCUUUUAGGAGCUUUUUGUGAUAUGCAAGACUUUGAAGGAUAUGCAAAGUCUUUAUUGGGUAAAGGGCCAACCAAUUACUGGCUUGGAGUUGGAUCACCUACGUCAAGCUACUUUGAGAAUCAUCCUUGGUUUGCUAAUCUUGAGAAUGUUGAAGUUAAUAAGGAGGUAUGUUUUAUCCAUUGCAAGAUGGGCAAUGAAGCUUUUGUGUUUCUCCCAAAAGACAUUAGGACUCUGACUGUUGAGAGCUGUCGAAAUAUCAGAAGUUUGAGCAAUUUUUCUUUGUUCUGCGAAGCAAAUGAGGUGAAGAUAUGUACUAUUAGGUGGUGUGAAGACGUUGAGUGUGUGGUUGAUUUGUCAUUAUCAUCUUGCAACUCAUUGCAGAAUGUUGAGGUUCUACAUCUUAGAAGUUUGAGGAACUUGUGUGAACUUUUAAGAGGGGUAACAGCUGUUGCAUCUACAUCUCACACUCCAGCACCUCCUGCCAUCUUCUCUUCUCUUAAAAAAUUCUAUUUGGUUGGUUGUCCAAGCAUAAAGAAGUUGUUUGCAGUUCAUCAAUUGCAGGGAUUUCAGAACUUGGAGCAUGUUGAAGUUAAGUAUUGUAAAAGGCUGGAGAAAAUAAUAGCAGAAGAAGAGGGAGAAAACCAGACAGUAGUAAAAUGGGAUUCUGAAACAACAUUUGCUUUUCCCAAAUUAAAUACAUUGCACUUGAUCAAAUUACCAGAAUUGAAGAGCAUUUGCGAUAGUGGACUUAGAAUCCCUGCUGAGUCUCUCCGCUAUCUUUCGAUAAUAAAUUGUUCAAAGCUAAAGAAGAUCCCUUUUUCCAUACCCCUGCUUGAAACUGGGCAACCAUCUCCUCUUUCUCUCGAGUAUGGCUAUGUUCAUCCAAGAAUAUGGUGGAAACUAGUGGAAUUCGAUGAUCUCAAUGCUAAGGAUGUCCUUUCACCUCUUGUUUUAGAUUAUUCUUCCGAGGAGGAUGAAGAGUGAGCCUGGUAAAAUUGUGUUUUUGUAUUAUCCAAGAAAGCAGUGUUCUGCUACAUAUAAGCUACCUGUACCUAUAUGUACAAUAUAAAAGACUAUGAAUUAUUCAUCAUUAAACUGUCAAUGUUCCAUCAU
Hibiscus syriacus is the source of this 3430-nucleotide RNA transcript. It is a transcript of the gene named probable disease resistance protein At1g61300, with no coding region annotated. The record is from RefSeq and is a predicted model, not a curated record. Lineage: Eukaryota; Viridiplantae; Streptophyta; Magnoliopsida; Malvales; Malvaceae. The transcript has 3 exons.